UGGGGAAUAUUGGACAAUGGGGGCAACCCUGAUCCAGCAAUGCCGCGUGUGUGAAGAAGGUCUUCGGAUUGUAAAGCACUUUCGACGGGGACGAUGAUGACGGUACCCGUAGAAGAAGCCCCGGCUAACUUCGUGCCAGCAGCCGCGGUAAUACGAAGGGGGCUAGCGUUGCUCGGAAUGACUGGGCGUAAAGGGCGUGUAGGCGGUUUACACAGUCAGAUGUGAAAUCCCCGGGCUUAACCUGGGAGCUGCAUUUGAUACGUGUAGACUAGAGUGUGAGAGAGGGUUGUGGAAUUCCCAGUGUAGAGGUGAAAUUCGUAGAUAUUGGGAAGAACACCGGUGGCGAAGGCGGCAACCUGGCUCAUGACUGACGCUGAGGCGCGAAAGCGUGGGGAGCAAGCAGGAUUAGAUACCCUGGUAGUCCACGCUGUAAACGAUGUGUGCUAGAUGUUGGGUAACUUUGUUAUUCAGUGUCGCAGUUAACGCGUUAAGCACACCGCCUGGGGAGUACGGCCGCAAGGUUGAAAC
This 528-nucleotide ribosomal RNA is filed under the name uncultured bacterium. RNAcentral describes it as "partial 16S ribosomal RNA". It matches the Rfam family "Bacterial small subunit ribosomal RNA", at positions 355 to 900 of the family's 1533-position model. The record is from RNAcentral.